GAUGAAGAACGUAGCGAAAUGCGAUAAGUAAUGUGAAUUGCAGAAUUCAGUGAAUCAUCGAAUCUUUGAACGCACAUUGCGCCCCCUGGUAUUCCGGGGGGCAUGCCUGUCCGAGCGUCAUUGCUGCCCAUCAAGCACGGCUUGUGUGUUGGGUCGUCGUCCCCCCCUCCGGGGGGGGACGGGCCCUAAAGGCAGCGGCGGCACCGCGUCCGAUCCUCGAGCGUAUGGGGCUUUGUCACCCGCUCUGUAGGCCCGGCCGGCGCUUGCCGAACGCAAAACAACCAUUCUUUCCAGGUUGACCUCGGAUCAGGUAGGGAUACCCGCUGAACUUAAGCAUAUCAAUAAGCGGAGGA
Molecule: unclassified non-coding RNA, 353 nt
Filed under: soil metagenome
Description: partial contains 5.8S ribosomal RNA, internal transcribed spacer 2, and large subunit ribosomal RNA
Rfam family: 5.8S ribosomal RNA (bases 1-120)
Source: RNAcentral